GAAGCAUCAGUGCUGGAAGAAAUACGAGAGGAGCAACAGCGUCGUAAAUGAUGGUAAUCCGGGAACUACUGAAUGAAUGCUCAGCCAGCCGGUGGCAUUCUUCCGAGGACUUGUGCUUGUGUAUUGGCGGAUUUUAUUUUUCUUUGGUUUAUUAGUGACUUUUCCUUCCUUUUUCUUAAGUAAUGGAGAAUUAUUAUGGUUGGCAAAUUGUACAUGUCUUUGUAAAGGAAUGGC
Molecule: long non-coding RNA, 234 nt
Filed under: Phoenix dactylifera (date palm)
Lineage: Eukaryota; Viridiplantae; Streptophyta; Magnoliopsida; Arecales; Arecaceae
Description: long non-coding RNA (PDAC_LNC000011)
Source: RNAcentral